AUAUCAGCAUGCAUAGCAUAUCAAUAAGCGGAGGAAAAGAAACUAACAAGGAUUCCCUUAGUAACGGCGAGUGAAGCGGGAAGAGCUCAAAUUUGAAAUCUUCAAGGUUUUACCUUGACGAAUUGUAGUUUAAAGAAGUGUUUUCUGUUGAAGUUUUGGUAAAAGUUCUUUGGAAUAGGACAUCAUAGAGGGUGAGAAUCCCGUAUUUGACCAUUACUUUCAGCUUUGUGAUACACUUUCAAAGAGUCGGAUUGUUUGGGAAUGCAGUCCAAAAUGGGUGGUAAAUUUCAUCUAAAGCUAAAUAUUGGCGAGAGACCGAUAGCGAACAAGUACCGUGAGGGAAAGAUGAAAAGAACUUUGAAAAGAGAGUUAAACAGUACGUGAAAUUGUCAAAAGGGAAGCGUUUGACACCAGUGUUGUUUUCUCGAAAAUCAAUUAAAAAGAGUUGGAUUUUGUGUUGUAUUGACUUUAUCAGGCUUUCUUCACUCUUCUCCAGCUUUUUUUAAUGCACUUUUCGUUUAUCAAGUCAACAUCAGUUUCUUUUGUUGUAAAAAGGUCAUUGGAAGGUGGCUUUCUCUUCGGAGAAAGUGUUUAUAGCCUUUGACUCAUGCAAUCGGAGAGACUGAGGUCUGCAGCGUAGAUCCUUCGGGGUUAGAUACAUUUGUGCUAAGUUAUAGCUUUUCAUAGACAACUUGUUGACUAUGUUUAGUCUUGUAGCUUACUCGCUUAUGCUAUUUUACCUACGCUUAGGAUGUUGAACUCUAUCACACACAG
This 774-nucleotide ribosomal RNA is filed under the name uncultured Neocallimastigales. Its description in RNAcentral is "partial large subunit ribosomal RNA". It matches the Rfam family "Eukaryotic large subunit ribosomal RNA", at positions 22 to 621 of the family's 3401-position model. The record is from RNAcentral. Lineage: Eukaryota; Fungi; Neocallimastigomycota; Neocallimastigomycetes; Neocallimastigales.